Molecule: ribosomal RNA, 503 nt
Filed under: uncultured bacterium
Lineage: Bacteria
Description: partial 16S ribosomal RNA
Rfam family: Bacterial small subunit ribosomal RNA
Source: RNAcentral
AUUGAACGCUGGCGGCAGGCUUAACACAUGCAAGUCGAGCGGGGUGAUGGUGCUUGCACUAUCACUUAGCGGCGGACGGGUGAGUAAUGCUUAGGAAUCUGCCUAUUAGUGGGGGACAACAUCGCGAAAGGGAUGCUAAUACCGCAUACGUCCUACGGGAGACAGCAGGGGAUCACUGGUGACCUUGCGCUAAUAGAUGAGCCUAAGUCGGAUUAGCUGGUUGGUGGGGUAAAGGCCUACCAAGGCGACGAUCUGUAGCGGGUCUGAGAGGAUGAUCCGCCACACUGGGACGGAGACACGGCCCAGACUCCUACGGGAGGCAGCAGUGGGGAAUAUUGGACAAUGGGGGGAACCCUGAUCCAGCCAUGCCGCGUGUGUGAAGAAGGCCUUAUGGUUGUAAAGCACUUUAAGCGAGGAGGAGGCUCUUUUGGUUAAUACCCAAGAUGAGUGGACGUUACUCGCAGAAUAAGCACCGGCUAACUCUGUGCCAGCCGCCGCCGUAA